UACCAGCACCCCGAGUGGUCGGGACGUUUAUUGGGCCUAAAGCAUCCGUAGCCGGUUCUACAAGUCUUCCGUUAAAUCCAGCUGCUUAACAGAUGGGCUGCGGAAGAUACUAUGGAGCUAGGAGGCGGGAGAGGCAAGCGGUACUCGAUGGGUAGGGUAAAUCCGUUGAUCCAUUGAAGACCACCAGUGGCGAAGGCGGCUUGCCAGACGCGCUCGACGGUGAGGGAUGAAAGCUGGG
Molecule: ribosomal RNA, 238 nt
Filed under: uncultured bacterium
Lineage: Bacteria
Description: partial 16S ribosomal RNA
Rfam family: Archaeal small subunit ribosomal RNA
Source: RNAcentral